Podarcis lilfordi (Lilford's wall lizard) is the source of this 157-nucleotide non-coding RNA. The record is from the annotation of a GenBank genome assembly. Lineage: Eukaryota; Metazoa; Chordata; Lepidosauria; Squamata; Lacertidae.
AGUAGCACCUUAGAGACCAACUAAGUUUUUUCCGGGUAUAAGCUUUCGUGUGCAUGCACACUUCUUCAGAUACCUGCAUGCACACGAUAGCUUAUACCAAGAACAAAUUUAGUUGGUCUCUAAGGUGCUACGGGACAAUUUUUUUAUUUUUAUAUAU